CUCUGUUUGUUUGAUAGUCCCACUGGAUAACCGUGGAAAAUCUAGAGCUAAUACAUGCACUAUGUCCAUCAGUUUUACGAUUGUUUGGAUGCAUUUAUUAGAUAUCCGAUCGCCAUUAUGGUGAAAGGUGAUUCUAGAUGACUAUUGCUGAUCGUAUGGCCUUGUGCCGACGACGCGUCAAACAAAUUCGUGCCCUAUCAACUUGUUGUUAGGAUAUUUGCCUAACAAGGUUGCAACGGGUGACGGGGAAUCAGGGUUCGAUUCCGGAGAGGGAGCAUGAGACAUAGCUACCACAUCCAAGGAAGGCAGCAGGCGCGCAAAUUACCCACUCCCGACUUGGGGAGGUAGUGACGAGUAAUAUCGGGUCGUACUCUUUUGAGUAUGAGACCGGAAUGGACGAAAUCUAGGUCCAUUCGUGAGUAACUAUUGGAGGGCAAGUCUGGUGCCAGCAGCCGCGGUAAUUCCAGCUCCAAUAGCAUAUACGAGAUUUGUUGCAGUUAAAAAGCUCGUAGUCGGAUUGUUUCACAACACUGUGAGCCUGGAAAAAAACAUCUAGGUGAAUAGUGUUGUGGUUACACACAAGCUCUUAGCAUCUACUUUAUUGUAGGUGCUAAUUUGUUUGUGGAUGUACCUUGAACAAAGUGAUUUGUUCAAAGCAGGCUUAACGCCUGAACAUUUGAGCAUGGAAUGAACGAUUGUGGCCUAAUCGUUUGGUCGGAAACGAAUAAGGUCCAGGUCAAAAGAGACAUUUGGGGGCAUCCGAACUCGGCCGCGAGAGGUGAAAUUCUAAGACCGGCCGAGGUCGAACAAAAGCGAAAGCAUUUGCCAAGAAUGUUUUCAUUGAUAAAGAACGAAAGUUGGAGGAGCAAAAACGAUCAGAUACCGUUGUAGUUCCAACUGUAAACUAUGCCGACUGUCGGGGCCAGUCAGCUACUACCGUACUUAUUGACCUCCCAGGGAAACCCAUAGUACUUGGGUUCUGGGGGGAGUACGGUCGCAAGUCUGAAACUUAAAGGAAUUGACGGAAGGGCACCACCAGGAGUGGAGCCUGCGGCUUAAUUUGACUCAACGCGGGUAAACUUACCCGGUCCGGACAUCGAUAGGAAUGACAGACUGAGAGAUCUUUCAUGAUACGAUGAAAGGUGGUGCAUGGCCGUUCUUAGUUGGUGGAGCGAUUUGUCUGGUUAAUUCCGAUAACGAACGAGACCGUAGCUUUCGUUUAGUGAACCUAAUUAGUCAUUAGGGGAUCAAUUCGAAGGGACCGACGCCUUGAGGCGGAGGAAGCACGGCAAUAACAGGUCUGUGAUGCCCUUAGAUGUCCGGGGCCGCACGCGGGCUACACUGAUGGUGGCAAAGAGUACUUAGGGAGAUAUCCUCGAGUAACCUUAUGAACCGCCUUCGUGACGGGGAUUGAGCCUUGUAAUUAUGGUUCAUGAACGAGGAAUUUCUAGUAGGCGCUGGUCAUCAUCCAGCGCCGACUAUGUCACUGCCCUUUUACGCACCG
RNAcentral lists this ribosomal RNA (1504 nucleotides) under Malacosporea sp. 1 HH-2014. Its description in RNAcentral is "SSU rRNA". It matches the Rfam family "Eukaryotic small subunit ribosomal RNA", at positions 111 to 1671 of the family's 1831-position model. The record is from RNAcentral. Lineage: Eukaryota; Metazoa; Cnidaria; Myxozoa.